Molecule: ribosomal RNA, 373 nt
Filed under: uncultured eukaryote
Lineage: Eukaryota
Description: partial 18S ribosomal RNA
Rfam family: Eukaryotic small subunit ribosomal RNA
Source: RNAcentral
CAAUAGCGUAUAUUAAAGUUGUUGCAGUUAAAAAGCUCGUAGUUGGAUUUCUGGGAGGGUGCCAAUGUCCGUCAACGUGCGUGUGCAGCGGCGCCCUUCCAUCCUUCUGUUAACGCCUCUGGGCAUUCACUUGCCGGUGGCGGGCUCAGAUAUUUUACCUUGAGAAAAUUAGAGUGUUUCAGGCAGGCUAGGCCGGAAUACAUUAGCAUGGAAUAAUAGAAUAGGACUAUGGUCUCUUUGUUGGUUUGAGGGACUAUGGUAAUGAUUAAUAGGGAUAGUUGGGGGCAUUAGUAUUUAAUUGUCAGAGGUGGAAUUCUCAGAUUUGUUAAAGACUAACUUAUGCGAAAGCAUUUGCCAAGGAUGUUUUCAUUAA